AGCGAACGCUGGCGGCAGGCCUAACACAUGCAAGUCGAGCGCUCGUAGCAAUACGAGAGCGGCAGACGGGAGAGUAACACGUGGGAACGUACCCUUUGGUUCGGAACAACACAGGGAAACUUGUGCUAAUACCGAAUAAGCCCUUACGGGAAAGAUUUAUCGCCGAAGGAUCGGCCCGCGUCUGAUUAGCUAGUUGGUGGGGUAAUGGCUCACCAAGGCGACGAUCAGUAGCNGGUCUGAGAGGAUGACCAGCCUCAUUGGGACUGAGACACGGCCCAAACUCCUACGGGAGGCAGCAGUGGGGAUAUUGGACAAUGGGCGCAAGCCUGAUCCAGCCAUGCCGCGUGGAUGAUGAAGGCCUUAGGGUUGUAAAGUCCUUUUAACGGGAAGAUAAUGACGGUACCGUAGAAUAAGCCCCGGCUAACUUCGUG
RNAcentral lists this ribosomal RNA (431 nucleotides) under uncultured bacterium. RNAcentral's name for it is "bacterial SSU rRNA". It matches the Rfam family "Bacterial small subunit ribosomal RNA", at positions 29 to 507 of the family's 1533-position model. The record is from RNAcentral.